UCUUAAUCCUCAUUUUGGGGAUCUUUUGUAAAGGUAUGGAUACUAUUAAUGAGGAAAGACAAGAAUUUAACUAAAAUAGUUUCUAAAGUAGCCACACAUGCAGCCUUUUCAUUGGUAUGUGCAUAUUUCUCUAUUUCUCUUCACAUUGGAAUAAGAGCAGGCACUCUUAAUUCUUCUAGAAUUUGAGUUUUUAACAUAAUGAAAGCUUUACAUUGCAUUAGUUCAACUGCAAAUUUAUGCCUGUAUGCAGACACUAUUUGUAAUUCCUAGUGUUAAAAAUAAAAGUAUCUGAGACCUGUUACCCCCAUACCACCCAGAAUCUCUAACUUUUAAUAUAUUGUGUGUGCCCGCAAAUAUCAUUUGUCUGUCUGCUGCAAAAUUGAAGGUGUAUUUUUAUAGACAAAGUGGAAACCUCUGAAAAUGUAUACCAAAUGUCUUGUUUUAUAGAUUAAUACGGGGAAAAAUUGCAUCUGUGGUUUAUGUUCCAGCUAAUAUCAUGUUUAGGUUUCAAAUUAUGACAGUUUAAUACCAAAAUUGAUUUCAGCAUAAUACAAAAUUUCUAAUUAUCACUGAUAGAAUAAUUACUUUGAGUCAACCCUUAUAAUCUCAUUUUUUUCCU
Molecule: long non-coding RNA, 619 nt
Filed under: Bos taurus (domestic cattle)
Lineage: Eukaryota; Metazoa; Chordata; Mammalia; Artiodactyla; Bovidae
Description: long non-coding RNA NONBTAT026667
Source: RNAcentral